This 212-nucleotide long non-coding RNA is filed under the name Gossypium raimondii (Peruvian cotton). RNAcentral's name for it is "long non-coding RNA (GRAI_LNC003130)". Lineage: Eukaryota; Viridiplantae; Streptophyta; Magnoliopsida; Malvales; Malvaceae. The record is from RNAcentral.
AAAAACUUCUCUCAUUCUUCUGUUAUCUAAAUUAUGGUGUUAUACGAAAUUACAUGAGAGGGAAAUUCUGUCUAGAAGAUUGGUUUUUAAGCGGGACUGUCUAUAACCCUUCCAAUCUUUUCUGGGAAUUGAACCUAUUGUGGUUUUGUCGGUUUUCUUCUAGCUUUUGUUUUUCUAGUUUCAAUUCUUUUCGAGAAGAGCAAUACCUAUUG